GACCUUGACGAGUGGACUUCAUAGAUAGAGAUUACAGUAGAAAAGGACGUCAUCAAGAUUGGUACAAAUCUAAACUACAAUCCAACGUCACCGUAACCAUGGUUACUAUUCUGUAGACUGGUUCAACCUUCGUCACUAUUACAGUUAUUUUCUUUAAAGUCAGCACGACGUAGCAUGCUAUAUUUAGUUGCUAUGUUACUUCCACUCUAGCUACGUGGAUUUGCAUAAAUAUUACCAAAUAGUCAAACAGAUGUUCGUAGUUGUCUUUAGCACACACACCGAUAUCCAGAAACACAGUAUUUGAAAUGAAACAGACUUUCUGUACUAGCUUCGAAAGUGUAUUCCGACAAAUGUCAUUGUCUUUACUAUUCAGAUGUGUAUAUUAUGCUUGGAUCUGUAAUUAACAUCAUCUCUAUAUGUAGCCGCCAAUUUAAAGGACUAUGACAGUUGUCUGGUUUUGCGUUAUACGUUUCUUGAAUUGUAUUUUUUUACUAUACCUAAGUGUUCCAAAUAUAGCGUAGUUAGUGUGAAAUCACAUUUAGUUAAGGGGUGAUCCCAUUGGCAGCUGUUCUAGAACUCGACAGUUUGUUUACAAGACUAGUAAGCAAAUAACACCGAAUAAACGGCAAGGUAAA
Long non-coding RNA from Saccoglossus kowalevskii, 635 nucleotides. The record is from RefSeq and is a predicted model, not a curated record. Lineage: Eukaryota; Metazoa; Hemichordata; Enteropneusta; Harrimaniidae.